Molecule: long non-coding RNA, 733 nt
Filed under: Brassica napus (rape)
Lineage: Eukaryota; Viridiplantae; Streptophyta; Magnoliopsida; Brassicales; Brassicaceae
Description: long non-coding RNA (BNAP_LNC025625)
Source: RNAcentral
ACAACCGAACGCCAUCUGCUUUCUCUGACGCUACCUGUUCAACGUCAUCUUUGGUUUGUCACACUUACUGCGAUCGUGACUACAAUCUAUUGAUUCUUCUUCUCCAAAAUUUCCAGCUUAUGUCGAUGUUAACUUGAAGCUCCGGCAGAACCUGAAUCACCACUGCCUCAAACCAGAAGCCCUUUGACUCAAUCCUUAUCCAACCUCAAUAGCCCGUAGACACCAAACUCCUCAUCCUGAGAAUUUCCUUUGUAACAAUCUGAAUGAGCACCUUGCCUUGAACAUCACUCUGAACCUGUUGUUGCCAACAGAUCCCGCCGCUUAACACAACUUGCUAAGAAGACUUUCGACGCAAAGAAUCUCUGCUCAACCUCUGCUCAAACAAAUCAUUACCUCUGCAACUGUGAUACCUUGUAGACCCAUUUGUUUCCUCUCAUAUGCCUGAGAAGCCAAAACAAACUACUACUGAAUCCCAUGCAGAAAAUCCGAAACAUACAUGUUUCCAUCCUGAAUCAAUCUCGAUUUGACACUGCCACCUGUUCAGCCGAAUUCUGCUUUGAACAAGUAACUCCUCGUUCUCGCAGAUCCAUUCCAGCAAAAAACUAUGUGUUACGCCAAACACAUAUCUGCUUAGAAAACCACACUGCGUUCCCUAUGAAAAUAGCAGCCUUGUAGUAUCUUGUUCUCUGAACAUCUACCCGAUUGUAGACUCCCAUAAUCACACAUAGACAAA